Molecule: ribosomal RNA, 981 nt
Filed under: human gut metagenome
Also listed under: 1 other name
Description: bacterial LSU rRNA
Rfam family: Bacterial large subunit ribosomal RNA
Source: RNAcentral
CCUAAGGUAGCGAAAUUCCUUGUCGGGUAAGUUCCGACCUGCACGAAUGGCGUAAUGAUGGCCAGGCUGUCUCCACCCGAGACUCAGUGAAAUUGAACUCGCUGUGAAGAUGCAGUGUACCCGCGGCAAGACGGAAAGACCCCGUGAACCUUUACUAUAGCUUGACACUGAACAUUGAGCCUUGAUGUGUAGGAUAGGUGGGAGGCUUUGAAGUGUGGACGCCAGUCUGCAUGGAGCCGACCUUGAAAUACCACCCUUUAAUGUUUGAUGUUCUAACGUUGGCCCGUAAUCCGGGUUGCGGACAGUGUCUGGUGGGUAGUUUGACUGGGGCGGUCUCCUCCUAAAGAGUAACGGAGGAGCACGAAGGUUGGCUAAUCCUGGUCGGACAUCAGGAGGUUAGUGCAAUGGCAUAAGCCAGCUUGACUGCGAGCGUGACGGCGCGAGCAGGUGCGAAAGCAGGUCAUAGUGAUCCGGUGGUUCUGAAUGGAAGGGCCAUCGCUCAACGGAUAAAAGGUACUCCGGGGAUAACAGGCUGAUACCGCCCAAGAGUUCAUAUCGACGGCGGUGUUUGGCACCUCGAUGUCGGCUCAUCACAUCCUGGGGCUGAAGUAGGUCCCAAGGGUAUGGCUGUUCGCCAUUUAAAGUGGUACGCGAGCUGGGUUUAGAACGUCGUGAGACAGUUCGGUCCCUAUCUGCCGUGGGCGCUGGAGAACUGAGGGGGGCUGCUCCUAGUACGAGAGGACCGGAGUGGACGCAUCACUGGUGUUCGGGUUGUCAUGCCAAUGGCACUGCCCGGUAGCUAAAUGCGGAAGAGAUAAGUGCUGAAAGCAUCUAAGCACGAAACUUGCCCCGAGAUGAGUUCUCCCUGACUCCUUGAGAGUCCUGAAGGAACGUUGAAGACGACGACGUUGAUAGGCCGGGUGUGUAAGCGCAGCGAUGCGUUGAGCUAACCGGUACUAAUGAACCGUGAGGCUUAACCUU